Molecule: long non-coding RNA, 334 nt
Organism: Dicentrarchus labrax (European seabass)
Lineage: Eukaryota; Metazoa; Chordata; Actinopteri; Moronidae
Exons: 3
Source: RefSeq, a predicted model, not a curated record
ACUGUAGGAGGGGGGGCAGCGUUACAUGUGACAUCACUGUAUAUGCAAAGGUGGACUGAAGUGGACUGAAGUGGACUGAGGUGGACUGAAGUGGACUGAGGUGGACUUUGGUGGACUGAGGUGGACUGAAGUGGACUGUGGUGGACUGUGGUGGACUGAAGUGGACUUUGGUGGACUGUGGUGGACUGUGGUGGACUGAAGUGGACUGAGGUGGACUGUGGUGGACUGAAGUGGACUGAAGUGGACUGAGGUGGACUGUGGUGGACUGAAGUGGACUGUGGUGUACCUGUUCUCUUUGCCGUUCUGGAUCACAGGGGGUCGCUCUGUGGAGUUC